RNAcentral lists this ribosomal RNA (495 nucleotides) under uncultured bacterium. RNAcentral describes it as "partial 16S ribosomal RNA". It matches the Rfam family "Bacterial small subunit ribosomal RNA", at positions 28 to 507 of the family's 1533-position model. The record is from RNAcentral.
GAUGAACGCUGGCGGCGUGCCUAAUACAUGCAAGUAGAACGCUGAAGGAGGAGCUUGCUCUUCUGGAUGAGUUGCGAACGGGUGAGUAACGCGUAGGUAACCUGCCUGGUAGCGGGGGAUAACUAUUGGAAACGAUAGCUAAUACCGCAUGACAACAGUUAUUGCAUGAUAACUGUUUAAAAGGGGCAACUGCUCCACUACCAGAUGGACCUGCGUUGUAUUAGCUAGUUGGUGAGGUAACGGCUCACCAAGGCGACGAUACAUAGCCGACCUGAGAGGGUGAUCGGCCAAACUGGGACUGGGACACGGCCCAGACUCCUACGGGAGGCAGCAGUAGGGAAUCUUCGGCAAUAGACGGAAGUCUGAACGAGCAACGCCGCGUGAGUGAAGAAGGGUUUCGGAUCGUAAAGCUCUGUUGUAAGAGAAGAACGAGUGUGAGAGUGGAAAGUUCACACUGUGACGGUAUCUUACCAGAAAGGGACGGCUAACUACGUG